GGUAGUAAUCGCAACAUCUUAAAAAUUUUUGCGGUAGUAAUUCACAACUUUUUUAAUUUGCGGUAGUACUUUACAACGUGGUAUUAACUUGCGGUAGUAAUUGGAAAAUUAUCCUAAGUUGAGUCCUCUUAGACUUAACUUAGGGGUAAAAUGGGAAAUUCACAAUAUUGAAUAAAGUAAGGAGAAGUUGAAGCCAGUUGGUCCCCACAAUUUGUUAGUUAUUCAUUAAUCAAACAAAAAAAAACGUAAAAAGGGUUGAAGCUUUUAAAAAAAGAAAAGGAGGAGAGAGAAAAAAACUCAUAACACAUUUGAUAAAGAACAAACAGCGCAAAUUCAAAACCUAGAAAGAGAGAGGCAGUUUUCAAAAGCAUUUUGGAAGCCAAAUUCUCAUCCUUUAGUAGUAAUUUGAAGUGUAACAGUAGCAUUGGAGUACCGUGGGUGUUUGCCGAAUUUUGGUUGCCGCCAAUUUCGGAAGGAAAACGCCGGAGUAUCGCUCUUCGUGGGAUUGUAACCUUAAACAUAUAUUGAAGACUAGAAACGCUCCAACUGGUUCAUCUAGCAAACAACAGGCCAACAAGAAAAUGAAACAAGCAGUUGUUGAGGAUGGAGAUGAAGAUAAUAACUAUGAUGGGAUGAUCACAAUUUUAACGAUGCUGACUAUGUGGUGUAAGAAGAAGAAGAAGACUAUGGUGAAGGUGAUAUUAUUCAAGGUGAUUACAAGGUGGAGUCAGAGUACCUUGUGACUCGGCACAUCGACAAGAAGCGUAAAAUUGUUCCCCCACCACCAAAACAUAUCAGACCCUCACAACCCCCACAGCCGAAGGUUCAGAAGAGCACAACGUCCACUAGUAAUUGAACAGGACUUUAAUGAGGUAUAAAAGCAUUGUAAUCUGAAGCAAGUAGUUCCUUAUGUUAUUGUUCUUUUGUUGAUGAUUUGUAAUGUUGGGUAGAUGAUUUUGAGUUAUGUUGGACAACCGAAUAUAACUUUGGGUGAGCAAGUUAAAAAAAGAGGUGUGAUAGUUGCGACACAGUUGAGGAAUUGUAGUUGGAAGCAAGCGAACUUCAAUUGUCGGAUUGGUGCAUUUAUCGAUGUUGUGAAGGCGAUGUGCAUAGAUGAGAACAAAAAAUAGUUGUUGGAGGGAAGUGGGUUUGGAGGGUUGUUGAAGUUGCCUUUAAUAAAGAUUGAUUGUAGGUUUUUUUACUGCCUUAUGACAAGGAUUGAUUCGAAGAAGAAGGUGUUAAUUGGAGGAGAUGGAAGAGAGCUACCUUUAUGCCCUGAACAAUGUGGUGCAUAUUUGGCCUUCCCGGAGUCCAAACCCUGUGCCUGUUAAAUUUCUUAAUGCAUCCAUGCAAGCAAGGGUCGAUCGUAUUGUUCAUCAGUAUGGGGAGAUUACAAAAGACAAUGUGUAAUCCCCCAUAUUUUAAUUUAAUUAUAAUUUAUUUAUAUAUUAUUCUUACAAUUAUAUUUAUGGCAAUUUCAUUAAAUAAAUUAUUUUUAUGAAAGGAUUUAAAAUAAACUAGUGUAUUUUUAUUAAUUUACAAGUAAUUCUAACAUAGCCCAAAACCCAAAUACUACUCCUAAUCUAAUUAGGAAACCCAAAGCCCAAAUAAAACCCUCAAAAACCCUCACUUUCCUCCUCCUUCUCACGUAAAAAAAAAAAAAGGGAAAAACCUUCAUAUUUUUUUUCUCCUCCUUUCCUACUGUUUUCACGAAGAGAAGAGAAAAAAAAAAAA
Molecule: long non-coding RNA, 1734 nt
Organism: Chenopodium quinoa (quinoa)
Lineage: Eukaryota; Viridiplantae; Streptophyta; Magnoliopsida; Caryophyllales; Amaranthaceae
Exons: 3
Source: RefSeq, a predicted model, not a curated record